Molecule: ribosomal RNA, 278 nt
Filed under: uncultured Eubacteriales bacterium
Lineage: Bacteria; Bacillati; Bacillota; Clostridia; Eubacteriales
Description: uncultured Clostridiales bacterium partial 16S ribosomal RNA
Rfam family: Bacterial small subunit ribosomal RNA
Source: RNAcentral
AACGGAAGUUAGAGCUUCGGUUUUAACUUUAGUGGCGAACGGGUGAGUAACGCGUGAGGAACCUGCCUUUCAGUGGGGGACAACAGUUGGAAACGACUGCUAAUACCGCAUGACACUUUUUGGGAGACAUCUCCUGGAAGUCAAAGCUUUUAUGUGCUGAAAGAUGGCCUCGCGUCUGAUUAGCUAGUUGGUGAGGUAACGGCUCACCAAGGCGACGAUCAGUAGCCGGUCUGAGAGGAUGAACGGCCACAUUGGGACUGAGAUACGGCCCAGACUCC